GCAAACUUGGUCAUUUAGAGGAAGUAAAAGUCGUAACAAGGUUUCCGUAGGUGAACCUGCGGAAGGAUCAUUACGAAUCGGAAAGCACCGGCCCGUCCCUCCGAACCCCUCGCGGGAUCGGGGCCGACGCGUCCGCCGUGUCCACCCCUCUGUGAAACUCUGAAAUCUGCUUCGGCAGCACCGGGCCGGUUAAUCCGGUCGGGGUAAGGCUGCCAGAAGCCCAUCUUAAAAACCAGUUGAUGAAAUGUCAUGCGGUCUUAGAAAUUACGUAUUUGAGAAAUCGAAUAUCCUUUAAAACUUUCAGCAACGGAUCUCUUGGUUCCCGCAUCGAUGAAGAACGCAGC
Molecule: unclassified non-coding RNA, 344 nt
Filed under: uncultured fungus
Lineage: Eukaryota; Fungi
Description: partial contains small subunit ribosomal RNA, internal transcribed spacer 1, and 5.8S ribosomal RNA
Rfam family: Eukaryotic small subunit ribosomal RNA (bases 1-73)
Source: RNAcentral